This 253-nucleotide ribosomal RNA is filed under the name uncultured bacterium. RNAcentral describes it as "partial 16S ribosomal RNA". It matches the Rfam family "Bacterial small subunit ribosomal RNA", at positions 524 to 776 of the family's 1533-position model. The record is from RNAcentral.
UACGUAGGUGGCAAGCGUUGUCCGGAUUUACUGGGCGUAAAGAGCGCGCAGGCGGUCGAUCAAGUCGCGUGUGAAAGCCCCCGGCUCAACCGGGGAAGGGGUGCCGAGACGUCCCGCCUGGAGGGGCGUAGGGGGACCCGGAACUUCCGGUGGAGCGGUGAAAUGCGUUGAGAUCGGAAGGAACGCCCGUGGCGAAAGCGGGGUCCUGGACGCCAGCUGACGCUGAGGCGCGAAAGCCAGGGGAGCGAACGGG